GUGCUGUGAUGAUUGACAAUAUAACACAUCAUGCUGACAUUAAAAACCAUGAUGAACUUUGAACCCUGAGCACA
This is a small nucleolar RNA of Sphaeramia orbicularis (orbiculate cardinalfish), 74 nucleotides long. Its record names the gene SNORD63. It matches the Rfam family "Small nucleolar RNA SNORD63". Rfam says of the family: snoRNA U63 is found in both humans and mice. U63 is a member of the C/D class of snoRNA which contain C (UGAUGA) and D (CUGA) box motifs. The record is from Ensembl. Lineage: Eukaryota; Metazoa; Chordata; Actinopteri; Kurtiformes; Apogonidae.